GACAGAGGUGCCGAGCGUUAGGCGGAAUCACUGGGCUUAAAGCGUGUGUAGGCGGAUCGUUAAGUGCCUUGUGAAAUCCCACGGCUCAACCGUGGAACUGCUUGGCAUACUGGCGAUCUUGAGCCACUUAGGGGCUACCGGAACAAAUGGUGGAGCGGUGAAAUGCGUAGAUAUCAUUCGGAACGCCAAUGGUGAAAACAGGUAGCUGGGAGUGUGCUGACGCUGAGACACGAAAGCCAGGGGAGCAAACGGG
RNAcentral lists this ribosomal RNA (253 nucleotides) under uncultured bacterium. RNAcentral's name for it is "partial 16S ribosomal RNA". It matches the Rfam family "Bacterial small subunit ribosomal RNA", at positions 524 to 776 of the family's 1533-position model. The record is from RNAcentral.